RNAcentral lists this ribosomal RNA (804 nucleotides) under Microbacterium sp. RNAcentral's name for it is "bacterial SSU rRNA". It matches the Rfam family "Bacterial small subunit ribosomal RNA", at positions 67 to 883 of the family's 1533-position model. Lineage: Bacteria; Bacillati; Actinomycetota; Actinomycetes; Micrococcales; Microbacteriaceae. The record is from RNAcentral.
CGGUGAAGGGGAGCUUGCUUCCUGGAUCAGUGGCGAACGGGUGAGUAACACGUGAGCAACCUGCCCUGGACUCUGGGAUAACAGUUGGAAACAGCUGCUAAUACCGGAUAUGAGCUGCGAUCGCAUGGUCGUGGUUGGAAAGAAUUUCGGUCUGGGAUGGGCUCGCGGCCUAUCAGCUUGUUGGUGAGGUAAUGGCUCACCAAGGCGUCGACGGGUAGCCGGCCUGAGAGGGUGACCGGCCACACUGGGACUGAGACACGGCCCAGACUCCUACGGGAGGCAGCAGUGGGGAAUAUUGCACAAUGGGCGGAAGCCUGAUGCAGCAACGCCGCGUGAGGGAUGACGGCCUUCGGGUUGUAAACCUCUUUUAGCAGGGAAGAAGCGAAAGUGACGGUACCUGCAGAAAAAGCGCCGGCUAACUACGUGCCAGCAGCCGCGGUAAUACGUAGGGCGCAAGCGUUAUCCGGAAUUAUUGGGCGUAAAGAGCUCGUAGGCGGUUUGUCGCGUCUGCUGUGAAAUCCCGAGGCUCAACCUCGGGCCUGCAGUGGGUACGGGCAGACUAGAGUGCGGUAGGGGAGAUUGGAACUCCUGGUGUAGCGGUGGAAUGCGCAGAUAUCAGGAAGAACACCGAUGGCGAAGGCAGAUCUCUGGGCCGUAACUGACGCUGAGGAGCGAAAGGGUGGGGAGCAAACAGGCUUAGAUACCCUGGUAGUCCACCCCGUAAACGUUGGGAACUAGUUGUGGGGUCCAUUCCACGGAUUCCGUGACGCAGCUAACGCAUUAAGUUCCCCGCCUGGGGAGUAC